Dreissena polymorpha is the source of this 1593-nucleotide long non-coding RNA. RefSeq lists it as uncharacterized. The record is from RefSeq and is a predicted model, not a curated record. Lineage: Eukaryota; Metazoa; Mollusca; Bivalvia; Myida; Dreissenidae. The transcript has 3 exons.
AGGUAAACACAUAUCAAAAUUCGAAGUUUGAAAAAAAUAAAAUGCAUCUCUCGGAAAUAACCGAUCAUUUAAGAUCGGCACUGAUCGUAAAAUAAAUCGCGGGAAAUCAUAAGAGGUGCGCUACCUUAAAUUAUGAUUUUAUACCAGUAAAAUGUUAUCCAUUUAAAUGAAAUUAUAUACCAUUUUUAUGAACUGAGUGAACUUUAAACUCUGAAAGCUAUGACUGCUAUAAUAAUAUAAAGAAUUAUUUGAUUUUAGAUACUAAACAUUUGUUGAGUUACUCCCCUUUGAUAUAAAUUUACCAUGCAUAUAAAGUUAGCAGACACCAAUGUCUAACUUGUUUUGUCAUUUUCACAGUUUUCAUUUCCAUGUACAUCUAAUAUGGUUCGACAAAAGAACUUCAUCAGCCAAGGGAAUGCCACAGUCUUCGGGGAAGAAAACAUGGCUACAUCUGGAGAGAGCUUAAAGAUCUACUAUGACUAGAAAGUAAGAAAGCCCAGAUGGUCCUAUGAUGACUCAACAAUGGAUGACAAGGAAAACACAAGAACACCUUUUUAAGACGAGGUCCACUUUUGAGAACUUUGACUGGAAAUCAUAGUGCUUCAUUUGUGGUGAAAAGUGCAGCCGUCAUAGAGACAAUACAUCAAGAGGUUUUAGCAGAAGUUGGUCCCUAGGGCCAAACAAAAAAAAUUGUGUGUUUCGGGAAACGGCUGAAAUUUUUUUUAGGUAGGGUAGGUAUUUUUUUCUGGUCUUUACGAUGGCUCACAUGCUUUUGCAAUGGGAAUAUCCGGAAAAAAACAUCGUACCGAAGUAUGAGCGUCCUAGAAAUUGGACCAUAUUCCGUUUAUUGUUGAAUUCUCAAAUGCGCAUAAUUAAAUUUGUAAUCCAAAACACUCUUCCCUAUUUAAUUUUUACUCGACGUUAUCACAUUCUUCAAACAAACUGUAAAUGUACAGUGUGUUUUAAUCUUUUCUCUGGAGAAAAGCGCGCGCAAAUUAUUCCCUACAUGAACAACGUCACGUCAAACGCAUGGAAAGCGUGCGUGCAUUAAAUUUCCGUUUAAUGUUCCGUGGUAAAUUUUAACAGAAUGAUAUAGCGAAUGAUUUGGAAUUUGACAUUUCCUCAAAAUUAAUUGCAAAUCAAACACACUUUAUAUUUAUCGUUACGGACGUUUACAUAAGUCACUAUUGAAACAGUUAUUGUACUGUAUACUGGUGCAACAGAAAAUCUAGACGAAACUGGAUUAAGUGUUGGGUGUUGUCAAAACGAAUCCCGGAAUAAACCCCCUUUGGAAGAAACACCCUUCCCUAAAAACAGCAUAGCGGAAGAAACCCCCUUUCACAUUUUGCAUAAACGAAAGAAACACCCUUCCAUAGCGGAACAAACUCCCUUCCAGUUUUCAGACAGGCGGAAUAAAACCCCUUCAUAACUGUUAUUCAAACUGUUCGAAAAACAUUGACACGUAAUUCGAUUCACAAUUUUCCUGUUUGAAGCAAUAAUAAACAUUUUGUAUAUUAUAUGCUCACAUUAGUAUCACUACAUAUAUAUAUAUUUAUAUAUAUUAGAGACAAAAUAUAAACUGUGCAGUGACAA